UCAGACUCGCGGCACCGAGCUCAGUAACACGUGGCCAAACUACCCUACAGAGACGGAUACCCUCGGGAAACUGAGGUUAACCCGUCAUACCGAUCUCAGGCUUGAAUCGCAGAGAUCACAAAACGCCCCGGCGCUGUAGGAUGUGGCUGCGGUUGAUUAGGUAGACGGUGGGGUAACGGCCCACCGUGCCCAUAAUCAGUACAGGUUGUGAGAGCAAGAACCUGGAGACGGAAUCUGAGACAAGAUUCCGGGCCCUACGGGGCGCAGCAGGCGCGAAACCUUUACACUGCACGCACGUGCGAUAAGGGGACUCCGAGUGCGAGGGCAUAUCGUCCUCGCUUUCGUGUACCGUAGGGUGGUACACCAACAAGGGCUGGGCAAGACCGGUGCCAGCCGCCGCGGUAAUACCGGCAGCCCGAGUGAUGGCCGAUCUUAUUGGGCCUAAAGCGUCCGUAGCUGGCUGCGCAAGUCCGUCGGGAAAUCCACUCGCCCAACGAGUGGGCGUCCGACGGAAACUGCACAGCUUGGGACCGGAAGGCUCGAAGGGUACGUUCGGGGUAGGAGUGAAAUCCCAUAAUCCCGCACGGACCACCGAUGGCGAAAGCACUUCGAGAAAACGGAUCCGACAGUGAGGGACGAAAGCCAGGGUCUCCAACCGGAUUAGAUACCCGGGUAGUCCUGGUCGUAAACAAUGUUCGCUAGGUAUGACACAGACUACGCGUCUCUGUUGUGCCGUAGGGAAGCCG
Molecule: ribosomal RNA, 746 nt
Filed under: uncultured archaeon
Lineage: Archaea
Description: bacterial SSU rRNA
Rfam family: Archaeal small subunit ribosomal RNA
Source: RNAcentral